AUACGGAGGGUGCGAGCGUUAAUCGGAAUUACAGGGCGUAAAGCGUACGUAGGCGGUUGGUUAAGUUAGAUGUGAAAGCCCCGGGCUUAACAUGGGAACUGCAUUUAAAACUGGCGAACUAGAGUUGAGUAGAGGGGAGUGGAAUUUCAGGUGUAGCGGUGAAAUGCGUAGAGAUCUGAAGGAACACCAGUGGCGAAGGCGACUCCCUGGACUCGAACUGACGCUGAGGUACGAAAGCGUGGGUAGCAAACGGGAUUAGAAACCCUAGUAGUCC
This 274-nucleotide ribosomal RNA is filed under the name uncultured bacterium. RNAcentral describes it as "partial 16S ribosomal RNA". It matches the Rfam family "Bacterial small subunit ribosomal RNA", at positions 523 to 796 of the family's 1533-position model. The record is from RNAcentral.